GCUAACCCAGGCUUCCUCAACCUCGGCCCUCCAGAUGUUUUUGGCCUACAACUCCCAUGAUCCCUAGCUAGCAGGACCAGUGGUCAGGGAUGAUAGGAAACAAAACAUCUGGAGGGCUGAGAUUGAGGAAGCCUGGGCUAAC
Non-coding RNA from Podarcis lilfordi (Lilford's wall lizard), 142 nucleotides. The record is from the annotation of a GenBank genome assembly. NCBI's taxonomy places the organism in Eukaryota, Metazoa, Chordata, Lepidosauria, Squamata, Lacertidae.